RNAcentral lists this ribosomal RNA (279 nucleotides) under uncultured bacterium. RNAcentral's name for it is "partial 16S ribosomal RNA". It matches the Rfam family "Bacterial small subunit ribosomal RNA", at positions 506 to 784 of the family's 1533-position model. The record is from RNAcentral.
UGCCAGCAGCCGCGGUAAUACGGAGGGGGCGAGCGUUAUUCGGAAUUACUGGGCGUAAAGGGUGCGUAGGCGGCCCAUCAAGUUAGACGUGAGAGCCCCGGGCUCAACCUGGGAAUUGCGUUUAAUACUGGUGAGCUAGAGUACGAGAGAGGAAAGUGGAAUUCCUAGUGUAGAGGUGAAAUUCGUAGAUAUUAGGAAGAACACCAGUGGCGAAGGCGACUUUCUGGGUCGAUAUUGACGCUGAGGCGCGAAGGCGUGGGUAGCGAACGGGAUUAGAUA